UACAGAGGGUGCGAGCGUUGUCCGGAGUUACUGGGCGUAAAGGGCAUGCAGGCGGUCGGACGCGUUUCGGGUGACAGCGGGUGGCUUAACUACCCGAGUGGUCGAAAGACGGUUUGACUUGAGGACGCGAGAGGGACACGGAAUUCCGGGUGGAGUGGUGAAAUGCGUAGAGAUCCGGAGGAACACCGAAGGCGAAGGCAGUGUCCUGGCGCGUAACUGACGCUGAGGUGCGAAAGCCAGGGGAGCGAACGGG
This 253-nucleotide ribosomal RNA is filed under the name uncultured bacterium. RNAcentral describes it as "partial 16S ribosomal RNA". It matches the Rfam family "Bacterial small subunit ribosomal RNA", at positions 524 to 776 of the family's 1533-position model. The record is from RNAcentral.